This 460-nucleotide ribosomal RNA is filed under the name uncultured bacterium. RNAcentral describes it as "partial 16S ribosomal RNA". It matches the Rfam family "Bacterial small subunit ribosomal RNA", at positions 338 to 795 of the family's 1533-position model. The record is from RNAcentral.
CCUACGGUGUGCAGCAGUGAGGAAUAUUGGUCAAUGGACGAGAGUCUGAACCCGCCAAGUAGCGUGAAGGCUGCCUGCCCUAUGGGUUGUAACCUUCUUUUAUAUGGUAACAAAACGUUCCACGUGUGGGCUUUUGUAUGUACCAUAUGACUAAGGAUCGGCUACCUCCGUGCCAUCAGCCUCGGUAAUACGGAGGCUCCGAGCGUUAUCCGGAUUUAUUUGGUUUAAAGGGAGCGUAGGUGGAUUGUUAAGUCAGUUGUGAAAGUUUGCGGCGCAACCGUAAAAUUGCAGUUGACACUGGCAGUCUUGAGUACAGUAGAGGUGGGCGGAAUUCGUGGUGUAGCGGUGAAAUGCUUAGAUAUCACGAAGAACUCCGAUUGCGAAGGCAGUUCACUGGACUGCAACUGACACUGAGGCUCGAAAGUGUGGGUAUCAAACAGGAUUAGAUACCCUAGUAGUC